GUGGGUAUAGUUCAGUGCUAGAGCACAUGUUUAGCAUGCACGAGGUCCUGGGUUCAAUCCCCAGUGCCUGCA
This 72-nucleotide transfer RNA is filed under the name Camelus bactrianus (Bactrian camel). It matches the Rfam family "tRNA". From Rfam's summary of the family: Transfer RNA (tRNA) molecules are approximately 80 nucleotides in length. RNAcentral also lists the same sequence under 2 other names. The record is from Rfam by way of RNAcentral. Lineage: Eukaryota; Metazoa; Chordata; Mammalia; Artiodactyla; Camelidae.